This 492-nucleotide ribosomal RNA is filed under the name uncultured bacterium. Its description in RNAcentral is "partial 16S ribosomal RNA". It matches the Rfam family "Bacterial small subunit ribosomal RNA", at positions 29 to 507 of the family's 1533-position model. The record is from RNAcentral.
AGUGAACGCUGGCGGUAGGCCUAACACAUGCAAGUCGAACGGCAGCACAGUAAGAGCUUGCUCUUACGGGUGGCGAGUUGCGGACGGGUGCGGAAUACAUCGGCAUCUACUUUUUCGUGGGGGAUAACGUAGGGAAACUUACGCUAAUACCGCAUACGACCUACGGGUGAAAGCAGGGGAUCUUCCGACCUUGCGCGAUUGAAUUAGCCGAUGUCGGCUUAGCUAGUUGGCGGGGUAAAGGCCCACCAAGGCGACGAUCCGUAGCUGGUCUGAGAGGAUGAUCAGCCACACUGGAACUGAGACACGGUCCAGAAUACUACGGGAGGCAGCAGUGGGGAAUAUUGGACAAUGGGCGCAAGCCUGAUCCAGCCAUACCGCGUGGGUGAAGAAGGCCUUCGGGUUGUAAAGCCCUUUUGUUGGGAAAGAAAAGCAGCAGGUUAAUACCCCGCUGUUCUGACGGUACCCAAAGAAUAAGCACCGGCUAACUUAGUG